UUAAUGUUAGAGUGCGCGCACGAUAACUCUGCGCGUAACAGCGUAGGGAUUCAUUAAAAAAAUGGGCCAAGUGCGUUGUCGG
Molecule: long non-coding RNA, 82 nt
Organism: Aricia agestis (brown argus)
Lineage: Eukaryota; Metazoa; Arthropoda; Insecta; Lepidoptera; Lycaenidae
Exons: 3
Source: RefSeq, a predicted model, not a curated record